GACGAACGCUGGCGGCGUGCCUAACACAUGCAAGUCGAGCGGAGAUGUACUGAAGAUUUAUCGGAUGUACAUCUUAGCGGCGGACGGGUGAGUAACGCGUGGGCAACCUGCCUUCCACUGGGGGAUAACACAGGGAAACCUGUGCUAAUACCGCAUGACAUCACAUAGGGCAUCCUGUGUGAUCAAAGGAGUGAUCCGGUGGAAGAUGGGCCCGCGUCCGAUUAGCUAGUUGGUGAGGUAACGGCUCACCAAGGCGACGAUCGGUAGCCGGACUGAGAGGUUGGCCGGCCACAUUGGGACUGAGACACGGCCCAGACUCCUACGGGAGGCAGCAGUGGGGAAUAUUGCGCAAUGGGGGGAACCCUGACGCAGCGACGCCGCGUGAAGGAAGAAGGCCUUCGGGUUGUAAACUUCUUUGAUGAGGGACGAAGGAAGUGACGGUACCUCAAAAACAAGACCACGGCUAACUACGUGCCAGCAGCCGCGGUAAAUAGCGUACUCG
RNAcentral lists this ribosomal RNA (502 nucleotides) under uncultured bacterium. RNAcentral's name for it is "bacterial SSU rRNA". It matches the Rfam family "Bacterial small subunit ribosomal RNA", at positions 28 to 533 of the family's 1533-position model. The record is from RNAcentral.